CGGAGCGUAGCGCAGCCUGGUAGCGCACUUGGUUUGGGACCAAGUGGUCGGGAGUUCAAAUCUCUCCGCUCCGACCA
This 77-nucleotide transfer RNA is filed under the name Ehrlichia canis. Its description in RNAcentral is "tRNA-Pro". It matches the Rfam family "tRNA". Rfam says of the family: Transfer RNA (tRNA) molecules are approximately 80 nucleotides in length. Their secondary structure includes four short double-helical elements and three loops (D, anti-codon, and T loops). Lineage: Bacteria; Pseudomonadati; Pseudomonadota; Alphaproteobacteria; Rickettsiales; Anaplasmataceae. The record is from RNAcentral. RNAcentral also lists the same sequence under 1 other name.